UACGUAGGGUGCGAGCGUUGUCCGGAAUUAUUGGGCGUAAAGGGCUCGUAGGCGGUCUGUUGCGUCGGGAGUGAAAACUCAGGGCUUAACCCUGAGCCUGCUUCCGAUACGGGCAGGCUAGAGUUCGGUAGGGGAGACUGGAAUUCCUGGUGUAGCGGUGAAAUGCGCAGAUAUCAGGAGGAACACCGGUGGCGAAGGCGGGUCUCUGGGCCGAUACUGACGCUGAGGAGCGAAAGCGUGGGGAGCGAACAGG
RNAcentral lists this ribosomal RNA (253 nucleotides) under uncultured bacterium. Its description in RNAcentral is "partial 16S ribosomal RNA". It matches the Rfam family "Bacterial small subunit ribosomal RNA", at positions 524 to 776 of the family's 1533-position model. The record is from RNAcentral.